Suricata suricatta (meerkat) is the source of this 2036-nucleotide RNA transcript. It is a transcript of the gene named zinc finger and SCAN domain-containing protein 31-like, with no coding region annotated. The record is from RefSeq and is a predicted model, not a curated record. The transcript is spliced from 3 exons. NCBI's taxonomy places the organism in Eukaryota, Metazoa, Chordata, Mammalia, Carnivora, Herpestidae.
CGCUGGGCUCUUCGAGUUGCUGCCGAGCUGGACCAGCGGCCUCGCGUGUCCCUCGCGCUGGGGUCCUGGGCUCGGGCUCGGAGCCCGGCGGGAGCGGCCCUGCGGGGCCCCGACGAGCUGAAUCGCCAGGGUGACCCAGCGUGGGGGCCCCGCGCGCCCGGUUGCCGAGCCGGCACGAACGAAGGUCACUGCUGUUGUGACCGCGGCUCCUGAGCGCUUGUCUCCCGCCGGACGGGGUGCACUUGGGCGCGGACGGACGACCCUGUGCCACCUCACGAGGGUUGGAAGUGUCGCCUGAGGCCGGGGCGCCGGAUUCAGAGUAUUCCUCGGCCCGGCCCGCCCCUCCCCUCCUCCAGCGACGCGGCACCGCCCCACGCGCGGAGCUCCGCUGGGAGUGGUGUUUGCGGACUGCCCCGCGUGGCGUGGACGCUCCAGGGCUCUCUGCUCAGUGCAUCGACGCAGUUCAAAUACCUGCAACACUGUCUGCACAAGGGCGGCCUCUAUUAAUGCGUAUUUGUGGGUUUAAUGAAUGAAUAAAAGUAGUUACUGUGGUCCCGGGUCUUCCUUCUGGAGUGGGCUCGUCACAGGAUUUGCCGUUUACCCCCUAGUUAGUUCCGUGCCCUAGAGCGCCCUCAGCGGCCUCCAGGUGACACGCCAGCAGAAGCCUGGCAGGAUGGCUGUGGACCCAGGGGAGUCGGCUGGUCAGUUUGUCUAGCCCGAAUGGGGUCCCCAGGGGCUUGCAGUGGAGAAGGUGGAGCUGGAGGAGGACAGCCCUGGAGUCAGGGCCUCAGCUUUUGGGACAACCAGCCCCCUGCCUGGGAGAUCUUCAGGCAGCGCUUCAGGCGCUUCUGCUACCAGGAGACCCCUGGACCCAGGGGGGCGCUGCGCCGGCUCCGCGAGCUGUGCGGCCAGUGGCUGCGGCCCGAGACGCGCCGCAAGGAGCAGAUCCUGGAGCUGCUGGUGCUGCAGCAGUUCCUGACCAUCCCGCCCGCGGAGCUCCAGGCCCGGGCGCGGGAGCAGCACCCGGAGAGCGGGGAGCAGCACCCGGAGAGCGGGGAGCAGGCGGUGGCCGCGCUGGAGGACCUGGACAGAAAGAGGAGACACGUCUGAUGUGCUUGUGGGUGGCUGGGAACAAAACUUCCUCAGUUGUGGAUCUCUGAGGGAGCAAGGGGACAGCCAGCACUCAGGAGGAGACUGAGCUUCUUGCUAAGCCAGCCCUGAAAAGACGGAAAGGAUGGGAACAGCAGAAUCAGAUUUGAAAAGGUUUCAGCCUGUGCUCUGGAACAGGAAAUCCUUUUACAGACAGUGACCCUUCAGACACUGGAUGAAGAAUCUUCAUACGCAUGGGUUCAGCCCCCAGGGGUCCAGUUCAAGAGCAAAGGACCUGAGCCCCAACCAUCAGAGGAAGGAGAGGCCAGUUUGCCCUGGAGGGUUUUUUGUGGCACCUGCAUUUUCUACUGGAUGAUUGUCAAGCUUCUUUCCAGGCUCAGGGCUCACACACCACUCACCUCGCAGACACUGAAAUUCUUCUAGAGGCCGUUCGCCUCGCUGGACAUAAGCAGGAAAUAAUGCAGCUUUUAGAUCCAGAAGAGACCAGAACAGAAUGCACUCUCUCCUUUCUCAGGCCUUUGUUAGGUGCCGACGCAGUGCCAACCACAGAAGGGAAAUGAUGCAAAAAACGUUGAGCAGAUGCAAAAUGGGCAUGCUUCCGAGAUGAAAAGUGCAUUCUUGGACAGAAUUAUUUUAAUUUAAUUUAAUUUUAUUUUAUUAUCUUAUUUUAUUUCACUCAGAGAACAGAGGCUUGAUUUGCAGCAUGUCUCAGACCACUGCUCCUGACUUCCUACUGGAUUUACUGUGUUUAUAGGCAACAUAAUUCCCUGUCAGUAAUGAAAAACUGGCCCAACUAUGGUAAGAAUAUUGAAUUUAAGUCUCCCUUAGGUUAUCUAGUCUUCUAAUUUGUCAUUAUGUCACUUUUCUGCUCUACUAAGACCCUUCACACUUUGCUGGUCAUAGAGAAUGUUUCUCCUGUUUCUAUC